RNAcentral lists this ribosomal RNA (1698 nucleotides) under Clinocottus analis (woolly sculpin). Its description in RNAcentral is "16S ribosomal RNA". The stretch from base 109 to 1583 matches the Rfam family "Bacterial large subunit ribosomal RNA". The record is from RNAcentral. Lineage: Eukaryota; Metazoa; Chordata; Actinopteri; Perciformes; Cottidae.
UGCCUAAAAGCUAGCCCCCCCCCCAAACACAACAACUCAACAUUAAUAACCCCUAAAUACCCCCGUAUUCAAAACAAUAAACCAUUUUUCCCCCUCAGUACAGGAGAUAGAAAAGGACCAAAGGCGCAAUAGAGACAGUACCGCAAGGGAACGCUGAAAGAGAAAUGAAACAACCCAGUUAAAGCCCAAAAAAGCAGAGCCUGACUCUCGUACCUUUUGCAUCAUGAUUUAGCAAGUGUACCCCAGGCAAAGCGCACUUUAGUCUGACCCCCCGAAACCUAGUGAGCUACUCCAAGGCAGCCUAUUAACAGGGCCCACCCGUCUCUGUUGCAAAAGAGUGGGGAGAACUUUGAGUAGAGGUGACAAACCUACCGAACUCGGUCAUAGCUGGUUGCCCAAUAAAUGGAUAGAAGUUCAGCCUCCUGGCUUCUCUUUUCACUCUCGGGUCACACCCCUGCUGAUUCACUAAAGAAACCAAGAGAGUUAGUCAAAGGGGGUACAGCCCCUUUGAAUCAAGACACAACUUUGCCAAGCGGGUAAAGAUCAUAAUUAACUAAAGCUAGGUGCCCCCGUGGGCUUAAAAGCAGCCACCCCCUUCGAAAGCGUUAAAGCUCGGACACAUCCCAUGCCCUUCUUAUCCUGAUCACCAAAUCUCACCCCCCUGCACCAUACUGGGCCGUCCCACGCCCCCGUGGGAGCGAUUAUGCUAAUAUGAGUAAUAAGAGAGCUCAGGCUCUCUCCCUGCACAUGUGUACAUCGGAACGGACCCCCCACCGACACUUAACGGCCCCAAAGCAAAGAGGGCAUUGGACCUUGCACCAAACAACUAGAAACCCAUCCAAACACCAACCGUUAACCCCACACAGGCAUGCUCCCAGGGAAAGACUAAAAGAAAGAGAAGGAACUCGGCAAAAUCUCAAGCCUCGCCUGUUUACCAAAAACAUCGCCUCUUGCAAAACUAAAAAAUAAGAGGUCUCGCCUGCCCUGUGACUAUUCGUUUAACGGCCGCGGUAUUUUGACCGUGCAAAGGUAGCGCAAUCACUUGUCUUUUAAAUGAAGACCCGUAUGAAUGGCAUAACGAGGGCUUAACUGUCUCCUUUUUCAAGUCAAUGAAAUUGAUCUCCCCGUGCAGAAGCGGGGAUAAAAACAUAAGACGAGAAGACCCUAUGGAGCUUCAGACACUAAAGCAGCCCACGUUAAAUACCCCUCAAGAAGGGACCAAACAAGGUGUGCCCUGCCCUAAUGUCUUUGGUUGGGGCGACCGCGGGGAAUUAAAUAACCCCCAUGUGGACCAAGGAAACUUUCCCUACAACUAAGAGCCACAGCUCUAAUAGCCAGAACUUCUGACCAACAAGAUCCGGCACUGCCGAUCAACGGACCGAGUUACCCUAGGGAUAACAGCGCAAUCCUCUUCUAGAGCCCAUAUCGACAAGGGGGUUUACGACCUCGAUGUUGGAUCAGGACAUCCUAAUGGUGCAGCCGCUAUUAAGGGUUCGUUUGUUCAACGAUUAAAGUCCUACGUGAUCUGAGUUCAGACCGGAGUAAUCCAGGUCAGUUUCUAUCUAUGCCGUGCCCUUUUCUAGUACGAAAGGACCGAAAAGAGGGGGCCCAUGCCAAGGGCACGCCUCUCCCCCACCCGAUGAAGACAACUAAAAAGGUCAAAGGGGCAUAGUCCCGCUGCGCCUAAGAUUAAGGCUC